CCAGUUUAGCAAGCCCACAAAGCCCAGCAACAAAACAACUGCAAAACAAGCACCUUCCUCUCUUCCACUCAUGUAUGCACACAGUCCUUUAAACUCGGGAAAGACCACCUUAGGCUCCAGCCUCCAGUGGACUUGGAGGUUCAUAACAUUGUAAAUUACUUAUACAGUGCCCGUUACACCACUGGCAUGAGGGCAGCAAUGAAGGUCCUCCAUCUCUGUCCCUGGCCAUGUUUUCUAUUGUGCCCUGGUUGUGGCUGAGGGCCCUCAUUCCUGCCUCCGUACUGUGGUGCCAAGUUAUCUUUGGUCUCCUGCGUUUCCUCCGCCCUUCAGGAGUCCAGUGAAGUGCUGUCCUGAUGAUGAAGUCAGCCUCUCUCCUCAUCACAGCCCAAUUCAACCCCAGUGCUUCCUCGUGAUGAUUGUGGCCAUUUCCUCUUGAUGAUACUGAAGGAGCAGGGCAUGGAUGGAGCUCUUUCUUGGCCAGAGAAUACGGAGAGUCAUCUGGAAGCUCGUGGUGUUGACUGACGACAGCUCGGCAAGGUCGCUUUCUGUCAUGUGCCAGCAUUCUGACCUGUACAAGAGUGUGGACAGAACACAGCUCUGGUACUGCUUCACCUUGCUGUGGAUCCCCAUAUGUUACUCAUUGAUCUGUAGAUGUUUCCAGCCUUGCUGAGUCUGCGCUGGGUGUCGUCCUUGGUUCCACCAUCCUGUCGAAUGAUGCUGCCCAGGCCGAGUUGCUAGCUCGACGCUCAACCCAGCACGGAUGGAAAACAUGCAAGGGAGCCAGCUGGAUUUGAACUCGAGAGCCUUCGCUUCGAAGUCCGCCGCUGAUGCCACUACGCCACCAACCAGCGAUUGCUGAAGAAGAGUCUCAGCCCGAAACAUCGACUGUUUAUUCACUUCCAUUGAUGCCGCCUGACCUACUGUGUCCCUCCAGCAUUUUGUGUGUGUUGAUUUGGAUUUCCAACAUCUGAAGAAUUCCAUGUGUUUAAGCUAAACAAAGAAUAUUGGUUGGAAGUUUAAUUUCACUUUGGUCUUUAGAAGUGUCAGCUACUAGUGUUUAGAAAGCUGCGGUUGACAAUAAUGUAAAAGCCCCUGGAUAGUGAAUAUCCAUCACAAUAUUCAGUGACCGAACCAGUGAAGGCAAGCCUGCUGAAUGUCUUCUCUACUGCUCUAUCUACAUGUGUUGCCACUUUAAUGAGAUAUGGACGCACCACAAGAUCCAUCUGUACAGCGAUGCUCCUAAAGGUCUCGCCAUUUACUGUAUACUCUCCCCUUAUAUUUAGUCUCCCAAAGUGCAACACCUCAAAUUUGACUGGAUUAAACUCCACUUGUCAUUUCUCCACCCAUAUCUCGAAUUGAUCCAUAUCACGUAAGACCAUUAGACAUAGGAGCAGAAUUAUGCUAUCUAGCCCAUUGAGUCUGCUCCACUAUCCCAACAAGGCUGAUCCCAAAUCCCACUCAACCCCACACAUCCGGCCUACUGUAUUCUUUAACAACCUUCUUUGCUAUCACACAACUCCAACAAUUUUUUGUGCCAUCUGCAAACUUACAAAUAAUUCCAUCUAUAUUUUUGUCCAAACACACACAAUACUGUUCCCAGCCCUGCAGAACGCCACUAGUCUCAGACCUCCAGUCAGAAAAACACCCCUCCACCACUACCUUCUGUUUUCUAUAGCCAAGCCAAUUUUUCAAUCUAGUCUAUCAAGUCACUGCGGAUCCCAAGUGUCUCUGUCUUCUAAAUCAGCCUGUCAAGGCGGAUCGACCCGAUGCAGGAGCGCAGAUACCACAAACACAGUAAUACAAGCAAUAUUUUCUCAAACUUUACUCUUUAUUCAUAGCAUGCCAUGGGGGAAGUUACAGACUGAUCUCCCAAAGAGCCAGUCCGGACACUGCCCUCCCUCAAAUCACAAUUCUUCACAAUUUAUAAUGUUGAUCAUUACGUCCACAGGAACUCUUACAAUUAUGGGAGUUAAGACAGCUUUAGAAUAGUUUCGAUCACAUGUUAAUAUACUAUUAAUCACAUGAACCAUAAAACACAAUAUGUUAUAAAACGUAACUCUGCAUAAUUCUUG
Molecule: long non-coding RNA, 2072 nt
Organism: Mobula hypostoma (lesser devil ray)
Lineage: Eukaryota; Metazoa; Chordata; Chondrichthyes; Myliobatiformes; Myliobatidae
Exons: 3
Source: RefSeq, a predicted model, not a curated record